RNAcentral lists this transfer RNA (60 nucleotides) under Dipodomys ordii (Ord's kangaroo rat). It matches the Rfam family "tRNA", at positions 7 to 64 of the family's 71-position model. Rfam says of the family: Transfer RNA (tRNA) molecules are approximately 80 nucleotides in length. Their secondary structure includes four short double-helical elements and three loops (D, anti-codon, and T loops). Lineage: Eukaryota; Metazoa; Chordata; Mammalia; Rodentia; Heteromyidae. The record is from Rfam by way of RNAcentral.
GUGGCUCGGUGGUAGAGCACUUGCCUUGCAUGCAUGAGGCCCUGAGUUCAAUUCCCCAGC